AGAAUCAACGCUGGCGGCGUGCCUAACACAUGCAAGUCGCACGAGAAAGGGGCUUCGGCUCUGAGUAAAGUGGCGCACGGGUGAGUAACACGUGACUAAUCUACCCUCGAGUGGGGAAUAACCUAGAGAAAUCUGGGCUAAUACCGCAUAACACUUACGAGUCAAAGCAGCAAUGCGCUUGGGGAGGAGGUCGCGGCCGAUUAGCUAGUUGGCGGGGUAAUGGCCCACCAAGGCGAUGAUCGGUA
This 245-nucleotide ribosomal RNA is filed under the name uncultured bacterium. Its description in RNAcentral is "partial small subunit ribosomal RNA". It matches the Rfam family "Bacterial small subunit ribosomal RNA", at positions 26 to 285 of the family's 1533-position model. The record is from RNAcentral.